AGGGUUUGAUUCUGGCUCAGGAUGAACGCUGGCGGCGUGCUUAACACAUGCAAGUCGAGCGAAGCACUUAUCAAUGACUCUUCGGAAGAAUUGAUAUUUGACUGAGCGGCGGACGGGUGAGUAACGCGUGGGUAACCUGCCUCAUACAGGGGAAUAACAGUUAGAAAUGGCUGCUAAUGCCGCAUAAGCGCACAGUACCGCAUGGUACAGUGUGAAAAACUCCGGUGGUAUGAGAUGGACCCGCGUCUGAUUAGGUAGUUGGUGAGGUAACGGCCCACCAAGCCGACGAUCAGUAGCCGGCCUGAGAGGGUGGACGGCCACAUUGGGACUGAGACACGGCCCAG
This 344-nucleotide ribosomal RNA is filed under the name uncultured bacterium. RNAcentral's name for it is "bacterial SSU rRNA". It matches the Rfam family "Bacterial small subunit ribosomal RNA", at positions 8 to 334 of the family's 1533-position model. The record is from RNAcentral.